Molecule: transfer RNA, 72 nt
Filed under: Bos taurus (domestic cattle)
Lineage: Eukaryota; Metazoa; Chordata; Mammalia; Artiodactyla; Bovidae
Also listed under: 5 other names
Rfam family: tRNA
About the family: Transfer RNA (tRNA) molecules are approximately 80 nucleotides in length. Their secondary structure includes four short double-helical elements and three loops (D, anti-codon, and T loops). Further hydrogen bonds mediate the characteristic L-shaped molecular structure. tRNAs have two regions of fundamental functional importance: the anti-codon, which is responsible for specific mRNA codon recognition, and the 3' end, to which the tRNAs corresponding amino acid is attached (by aminoacyl-tRNA synthetases). tRNAs cope with the degeneracy of the genetic code in two manners: having more than one tRNA (with a specific anti-codon) for a particular amino acid; and 'wobble' base-pairing, i.e. permitting non-standard base-pairing at the 3rd anti-codon position.
Source: Rfam by way of RNAcentral
UCCCUGGUGGCUUAGAGGUUAAAGCGUCUGCCUCCACUGCGGGAGAUCCGGGUUCGAUCCCUGGGUCGGGAA